UUUCCGUAGGUGAACCUGCGGAAGGAUCAUUAUUGUAUAACCGAGGUGCGAGGGCUGUCGCUGACCCGAAAGGUCGUGCACGCCCGAGUGCCCUCACACACAUCCAUCUCACCCCUAUAUGCACCACCGCGUGGGUCCCCCUUUGGCUUGUUCGGAGGGGGGCUUACGUUUUCACACAAACUUUGUAUGCAGUGUCGAAUGUACUUUUUGUUUUUGCGAUCACGCAAUCAAUACAACUUUCAACAACGGAUCUCUUGGCUCUC
RNAcentral lists this unclassified non-coding RNA (263 nucleotides) under plant metagenome. RNAcentral describes it as "partial contains small subunit ribosomal RNA, internal transcribed spacer 1, and 5.8S ribosomal RNA". The record is from RNAcentral.